RNAcentral lists this long non-coding RNA (1207 nucleotides) under Citrus x clementina. RNAcentral's name for it is "Citrus clementina (C. clementina) long non-coding RNA (CCLE_LNC004235)". Lineage: Eukaryota; Viridiplantae; Streptophyta; Magnoliopsida; Sapindales; Rutaceae. The record is from RNAcentral.
CCUAAUAAAAUAAAUUAGUUCUUGAGAAAAUUUGGAGAAUUCAUAAGAAUGGUAGGUAACACUCAAACGUGACAUUUAGAAAAAAGAAACAAAAACUCAACAAAAUAAUCUCGGCGUCCUCUUCCUCCAAAUUGCUUCUGCUGCUCUUGGUUAUGUUCGCGCGGCUGCUGCUUCUCUUCUUCUCGGCUUCUGUUGCAUCGGCUGUUCUUAAUUCUGUGUAUCUCUCGAAAGCUAAAACAAUUGCCUCUCGGGAAGCUAAAACAGUUGCCGCUAGGAAAGCUAAAACAAUUUUAUAUGCAUUAAAUCCAGCCGCAUCGACUUGACAUGCAAUUUCCAGUUAAUUGACACGUCCUGUCACGAAAUCCUAGGUGCUUUAGGAUUAAUUUAGUCCAUCUUUAAAAGCCAAGCCCACUUCUUCUUUAAUUGUUCACGUUCAUACGUGAUUGCCCUGUUAAUAAAAAUAGAUAAUCCCCAAUGCUACUUCUUCACGUCUUCAAGUGAUUGCUUCAAUUGUGGCUUGGCUCCUCGACAUUCUUCCACUUUAAUCUCCUAUUACUUUCCUUAAACUUUCAAUUGAUUUCUUCUUUAAACUCUUCUUACUCAAAUAUUUUCAAAUAUACGUACAGCAAUAAAACACAAGAAUUAAGUUAAAAAUAAAUAAGAAUAAUAAUAAAAACAAAAAUUAGACAUAAAAUUAUGGCAAAUGCUAUGUUACAUUUAAUGUAACAUAGGGGCUCCCUAAAAUUAUAUAAGGCAAGCAUUAUAUUAAUAUAUAAAAUAAGCACAUAAAAUGACGUAAUAAAAAAUGUAAAAAUUAAAUAUGAAAUAAAUCAAUAAUCACAACAAUAGAAUUAAAUAAUACUGAUAACUGCUUAAUUACUUUUCGGGUAUUACAGUGCGGUCCGUUAAAACAUGUAUCCUUACAUUUAGGCCCCCUAGGAAGCAGUCCGUAAGUUUAUAGCAAAUGUCAAGAAAAAUGCCUUGAAUGUGACCGGCGCACUUUGCUAUCCUGCACUCAUUGUCAAUGGAUACAAUUUUGACAUUCAUUUACGAAUUUGAAAUGGGCAAUAAUGCAGCCAAGGAAAAAAUAACGCAGCGGAGCAAAAGUUUGGUGCACUUGAGAUGUCCAGAAUAAAAUGUUCUAAACUUUGGGAGAUCAGGUAAGAAAACUAUCUUUGAAAAAAAAGAGAAUUGGAUAAAGUGUUCA